GAUGAACGCUAGCGGGAGGCUUAACACAUGCAAGUCGAGGGGCAUCACGUCCCGAGUAAUCGGGAUGGUGGCGACCGGCGCACGGGUGAGUAACACGUAUGCAACCUACCCUGUACAGGGGGAUAACCCGGAGAAAUUCGGACUAAUACCCCAUAAAGAUAUUUAGAGGCAUCUUUAAAUAUUUAAAGUUUCGGCGGUACGGGAUGGGCAUGCGGAACAUUAGCUAGUUGGCAGGGUAACGGCCUACCAAGGCUACGAUGUUUAGGGGACCUGAGAGGGUGAUCCCCCACACUGGUACUGAGACACGGACCAGACUCCUACGGGAGGCAG
This 330-nucleotide ribosomal RNA is filed under the name uncultured Bacteroidota bacterium. Its description in RNAcentral is "bacterial SSU rRNA". It matches the Rfam family "Bacterial small subunit ribosomal RNA", at positions 28 to 351 of the family's 1533-position model. Lineage: Bacteria; Pseudomonadati; Bacteroidota. The record is from RNAcentral.